Molecule: ribosomal RNA, 489 nt
Filed under: uncultured bacterium
Lineage: Bacteria
Description: partial 16S ribosomal RNA
Rfam family: Bacterial small subunit ribosomal RNA
Source: RNAcentral
AUUGAACGCUGGCGGCAGGCCUAACACAUGCAAGUCGAACGGUAACAGGAAGCAGCUUGCUGCUUCGCUGACGAGUGGCGGACGGGUGAGUAAUGUCUGGGAAACUGCCUGAUGGAGGGGGAUAACUACUGGAAACGGUAGCUAAUACCGCAUAACGUCGCAAGACCAAAGAGGGGGACCUUAGGGCCUCUUGCCAUCGGAUGUGCCCAGAUGGGAUUAGCUAGUAGGUGGGGUACGGCUCACCUAGGCGACGAUCCCUAGCUGGUCUGAGAGGAUGACCAGCCACACUGGAACUGAGACACGGUCCAGACUCCUACGGGAGGCAGCAGUGGGGAAUAUUGCACAAUGGGCGCAAGCCUGAUGCAGCCAUGCCGCGUGUAUGAAGAAGGCCUUCGGGUUGUAAAGUACUUUCAGCGGGGAGGAAGGGAGUAAAGUUAAUACCUUUGCUCAUUGACGUUACCCGCAGAAGAAGCACCGGCUAACUCCGUG